ACUGCUGCUCCACGUGCUCGACUGACUCUUGCUUGAAGACAUUACAGGAGAGGACACUGGUCUGGCUGGUGGGGACGUGGCAGCUCCUAAAUGAGGAGGUCCAGAUGCUGUCAGAGAGUGAGCUCUUCUUGAUGACAGGGUGUUAGAUGGAGAAGCAUUAAUAAUAAUAUUUUGAUCUGACUCUUCUUGUUCAUCAAUAUCUUGAGGAUCUGAACCACUUCUGUUUCGAUAUUCCUUGCAGCUCUUUGCCUUCCGAGUUGCCAUUUCAUCAUCAGUGGCCUCCCCACUUUCACCCCUCAUGAGUACUUUCUUCUUUUUCUUAGCUGCACUUAUUCCCAGAGUGUUGUUUCUCUGCACACUAGGUUUCUCAGUGCUUUUGGUCAGAGUUCCUGUGUUUGUGUUCCUUGUGCUCCAUCGUCUGCCUCCAAACAGUUCGACAGCCUGAGCCAAGGUUGGGCCUUCAAACCUUC
RNAcentral lists this long non-coding RNA (470 nucleotides) under Gallus gallus (chicken). Lineage: Eukaryota; Metazoa; Chordata; Aves; Galliformes; Phasianidae. The record is from RNAcentral.